AAAAUUUUGGCACCGAAGGAAGUAUAGACUCGGCCCCAAUCUCGCAGACUCCUCUUCCAAAUCGCCCCCAAAUCGAGUCUGUUGUGCCCUCGCCGCCGCCCAAAUGCGAUGUGCCCUCGCCGCCGCCCCCAACCAUCACCCCUCACCGCCGCCCUGCAACCACCGCCACUCCGACCAUUGCCGCCGUCACCCCCAGCACCCCACCGUAGCCCCGCCGAGCACCAACUAAAGAUCUAAGCCCCCGCCGGCCUACCCCGACGCCGAGCCACUCCACCACCAUCAAGUACUCUGGUCCAGAGAUCUGGUCCGCCCUUCGCCGCUGUCAAGCAUCCUUAGAUCUCGGCCUCCCUUCGCCGCAUUCCCAGCGCCGCCCAAAUGUGGUCUCUCCAUCCACGCAUUCUCCUCUCGCAGCACCGUCUCCUUGGCAUCUCUCCCGAACUGCCGAGAUGAGGCAUGCGCCGGGCUAGGGUUUGGCGCCGCCGGCCCUCUUGGUCGACCUACUCUGGUGCAUGCUCGCCCAUCAUCCUCCGCCCCUGGUCCACCUCGACGUCAUGCACUCGUGCUCGCCCAUCAUCCUUUGUCCGUGCUCCCCCAAUUCGUGCUUCUACGGCCUCCCCCUCUUGUACUUCGAGCCUAAGAAUCACAGGUCAACAGAUGUUGGUGUUCAAAAUACAGAUGGAGGUGGAUUAUAAUACUUUGGUGAUAAUAACACCAACCUUAUAGCCAUAUCAUUUACGAAUAACUCCAUAAGAUUUCCCAAAGUUCUGAAUGCAAUAACAUGUUCUGAUCUAGUGCAGAUUUCCCAAAGGUACACAAGUUCAAUAAGGUUUGGAGGAUCUUCAAGUUGCUGAAGAUUUGAAGAACUACAACUAAGUUGGUGGAGUGAUAAUGUCAUUUGUCUUGUUUGUUGAACCUAGAGACUUGAUAUGCUCAUUUUAUUGGUUAUUAAGCUCAUUUUGGUUGUGUGGCGCACAUCUAGAAACAUAUGUGCAUCUCCUUUUGUGGCACUAUUUUUUUUGGUUGUGUGGCAAACAUAUAUGUACUCCUUUUGUGGCACAUCCUCCUUAUAUAUACUCGAAUGAAGUUUUAAGGUUU
Triticum aestivum (bread wheat) is the source of this 1095-nucleotide long non-coding RNA. RefSeq lists it as uncharacterized. The record is from RefSeq and is a predicted model, not a curated record. The transcript has 4 exons. NCBI's taxonomy places the organism in Eukaryota, Viridiplantae, Streptophyta, Magnoliopsida, Poales, Poaceae.